CAUUACCGAGUUUACAACUCCCAAACCCAAUGUGAACGUUACCAAACUGUUGCCUCGGCGGGAUCUCUGCCCCGGGUGCGUCGCAGCCCCGGACCAAGGCGCCCGCCGGAGGACCAACCUAAAACUCUUAUUGUAUACCCCCUCGCGGGUUUUUUUUAUAAUCUGAGCCUUCUCGGCGCCUCUCGUAGGCGUUUCGAAAAUGAAUCAAAACUUUCAACAACGGAUCUCUUGGUUCUGGCAUCGAUGAAGAACGCAGCGAAAUGCGAUAAGUAAUGUGAAUUGCAGAAUUCAGUGAAUCAUCGAAUCUUUGAACGCACAUUGCGCCCGCCAGUAUUCUGGCGGGCAUGCCUGUCCGAGCGUCAUUUCAACCCUCGAACCCCUCCGGGGGGUCGGCGUUGGGGAUCGGCCCUCCCUUAGCGGGUGGCCGUCUCCGAAAUACAGUGGCGGUCUCGCCGCAGCCUCUCCUGCGCAGUAGUUUGCACACUCGCAUCGGGAGCGCGGCGCGUCCACAGCCGUUAAACACCCAACUUCUGAAAUGU
Molecule: ribosomal RNA, 539 nt
Filed under: Trichoderma cf. harzianum ROG-2010
Lineage: Eukaryota; Fungi; Ascomycota; Sordariomycetes; Hypocreales; Hypocreaceae
Description: eukaryotic LSU rRNA
Rfam family: 5.8S ribosomal RNA (bases 209-362)
Source: RNAcentral